Solanum tuberosum (potato) is the source of this 271-nucleotide long non-coding RNA. RefSeq lists it as uncharacterized. The transcript is spliced from 2 exons. The record is from RefSeq and is a predicted model, not a curated record. NCBI's taxonomy places the organism in Eukaryota, Viridiplantae, Streptophyta, Magnoliopsida, Solanales, Solanaceae.
UUUCAAAGUAAUUCAUUAUUUCCAUUCCACCAUAUGUCUCUCCAAACGACCCUGCACUAAUGAAAAUCAGGACCAUCACUUGAAGAAUUAUCAAUUGGAGACUUUGUUUGGCUUUUUGGAGAAGGUCCAAAAGCUUGAAGGACCCAAAAUUUAGCCGAUUCAACAACAUGGACUUCACUAGAACCCUUUUGUCUCCUAAUUUUUGAAUUGCUUGUAAUAACUGGAUUGUUCCCAUUAUCUUUUGUUGGAUAUGCAUUCGAAUAUUUAUCUA